RNAcentral lists this ribosomal RNA (443 nucleotides) under uncultured bacterium. Its description in RNAcentral is "partial 16S ribosomal RNA". It matches the Rfam family "Bacterial small subunit ribosomal RNA", at positions 338 to 795 of the family's 1533-position model. The record is from RNAcentral.
CCUACGGGAGGCAGCAGUGGGGAAUAUUGGGCAAUGGGCGCAAGCCUGACCCAGCAACGCCGCGUGAAGGAAGAAUGCUUUCGGGUUUUAAACUUCUUUUCUGAGGGACGUAGAAAGUGACGGUACCUCAUGAAUAAGCCACGGCUAACUACGUGCCAGCAGCCGCGGUAAUACGUAGGUGGCAAGCGUUAUCCGGAUUUAUUGGGUGUAAAGGGCGUGUAGGCGGGAAAGCAAGUCAGAUGUGAAAACUCAGGGCUCAACCCUAAGACUGCAUUUGAAACUGGUUUUCUUGAGUGCUGGAGAGGCAAGCGGAAUUCGGUGUGUAGCGGUGAAAUGCGUAGAUAUAAGGAGGAACACCAGUGGCGAAGGCGGAUUGCUAGACAGUAACUGACGCUGAGGCGCGAAAGCGUGGGGAGCAAACAGGAUUAGAUACCCUUGUAGUC